GGGAUCAUCGACCAUCAAGAUGGUUCCUGUGAGUCUCAUCAUUCACCAGUGACACCUAACAGCAUGUAGUGGCUACCCAGCAGAAUGGAAUGAUGAACCUUUAGGUGCAGUUAUCAUAUGAUAUAGUCCUUCUAUCAUGGAUCCCUACAGAACGGAGGUCAUGGAUAACUUGUCAAACCCCGUCGUCUGUCAUAUAUCUAGAUUUAUUCGAUUUAAGUUCGAGAGUGGAAAAAUCUUUCUCCAUUGUACGUACUGUCCCGAUCGAGAUCUUACGAACUCAGUCUUAUAAAUCACAUAGGAUCACUCCUUAUCUAUCAAGGUCAAUAGAUUCUAUGUAGGUGCAUAUGCUACUCCUACAGUGAAACUACUGCAGC
Molecule: long non-coding RNA, 374 nt
Filed under: Phoenix dactylifera (date palm)
Lineage: Eukaryota; Viridiplantae; Streptophyta; Magnoliopsida; Arecales; Arecaceae
Description: long non-coding RNA (PDAC_LNC004163)
Source: RNAcentral